UGGCGGCGACCAACUCGUGGACCUGACGCAGCCAGAGAGCUGUCAUUUCAGCACUGGGAUUCAGAAUUGAUCCAAUUCGCAACGGAGGGGGCACAUCCCAGCUCCCGAACUGCUGCAUGUCUCUGGCUGGAACAAUAGUAGUUUUUCUCUGGAAGGCUGCAAUUAACAUCUUAUUUGUUCUGGCUCCAUACAGGCUUUGUCAGGACCGCGGUGCGGCGACCGAGGCUACUGAGCUGGUCUGAUGAUGAUCCUGCUGAGAUGUAUUUAUAGCAGAUGAUUUGUGGAUGAUAAAUAUGCCAAGUAAGACACAGUCUCCAGUAACCCCAGGCUCAUCUGACUUCCUCAGGGGACUAUAAUCAAGAAUCACAAAAAGAACCCUCUAUGGACAGUCUGGUCUCUGGACACUAACAACAGCACAAUCCAAAGGCAAAUCAAGGGGGAACCACUUUGUUUCAUGUCUGCAAGAUGCUCCAUGUGAAAGCAUUGCUGACAAUGUUGACCCAACAGCAAA
Molecule: long non-coding RNA, 511 nt
Filed under: Callithrix jacchus (white-tufted-ear marmoset)
Lineage: Eukaryota; Metazoa; Chordata; Mammalia; Primates; Cebidae
Description: lncRNA (ENSCJAG00000080849.1)
Source: RNAcentral